Molecule: long non-coding RNA, 1470 nt
Organism: Parus major (Great Tit)
Lineage: Eukaryota; Metazoa; Chordata; Aves; Passeriformes; Paridae
Source: Ensembl
AUGCGGAGCUGGGUGGGUAUGCCGUGGUCCCGGCCGGACCCGACAUGUGCAGCCCGGCAGCCCUCGGAGACAGCUUUCGGGGGAAAAUCCCACGGCGGGCGCUCGCACAAGAGCAGCAAUGGGGAUGUAAGUCUUUGGAAGGCCCUUGGACAUAUUGGAGCAAAAUGAAGGCAGCCAGCAUGCAUUUACAAAGUGUAGAAGUCCUAGUUCCGUUUGUUGCUCAUCUGUUUCCACAGCGUUGGGAUUUCCUGGGAAGGCCCUCUGUCCCUUGUCUUCUGAGCCCUAGUGUCCUCCCAGAGGAAGGAGCAUUUUGCUUUCAGAGAAGAGCCAUCACAGCAGGCUCCAUAUCCCCUGAUGCUUCUCUGGGUGAAGGAAUUUGCUUGAGAGCCACAUCUGUCCCUUGCCAUGAGCUAGCCAAGAUGCUGUCUCCUGAGGGCCAGCACCAUUUCAAGGGAGAAGCCCCCUCCUAAUUCAGAAAAGGAGAGAUGCCAGCCCGUCCUUCUUCAGAAGUCCACAGACUUCCUUGGCCCCCAGAGUUGUGAGAAGGACAUCCAGAGUGCGCCAUAAGAUGCUUCUGGUUUAUAGUGCCCCUGGAAGGGUUCAGAUGUACAAGACACUGAGGGUCUCUGGGGAGGGUGGGAUAUUUUUAUCUGUCACUUGACUGAUGUUUGCUGUCAUGUAGAGAGAGUUUGUUAUUCUUUGCUGUGUGGCUUAUAUUCUUUCAGGAACAGCAAAAGUUCUGAGUCUGAGAUAGGUGCUUUUCCUGCAUUCACAUAGGAAUAACAGUAAUGAUAACAAUAAUAAUAAUAAUAGCUUAGUAGCUUUAGAGAAAUACUCAGUGUUUCACCAGAAUGCCCCAUCUUCUUCAGUGUAGCUGCUCCAUUUAAAAAAGACAGUCUUGUGUCAGCCUUUAUGAAAAAGGGAAAACUAGAUUAAGCAACUGGCAUUAAAGACCAGCAAUUUUUGAACUUGUGUAGCCCUUGAAAACAGUAGUUUUUGGCCCAAAAUCAGGACAUAGCUUAGGCAUAUGCUUAACUUUAAGCAUGAGAAUAGUCAUAUUGAAAUCAGGGGGAGUGUUCACAUGUUUACAGUUAAUCUCAAUCCAAAUGCUUUUCUGAAAUUUGUCCUACUGGGAACUGAAAAUGCUAAUACAGUUUUCAGAGCCUGACCCUGUAGAAUAUUAAAUACAGCUGAGCUCUCUAAUUCCCACUGAAGUUAAUGGAAUUGAGGGUACUUGGCAUUCCUUGGGUGUGUGCAGCCCAGCACAGAACCAAAGCCCAACUGCAGCCACCAAGCUUGAGCUCCCUGAAAUCAAAGCAUGAUGAUCCCUGAUUGUAGGUCAGACACAACCUGCCAAACAUAGAGACCACUGUCUUAAAGAGCAGGUUUCACCAGGAGCUUUUGGAAUCCAGAGGACCCAAGGUUACAUACAUGACAAAAAUACAGCAUAUGACUGUAAGAAAUUAAAAG